Molecule: ribosomal RNA, 510 nt
Filed under: uncultured Alphaproteobacteria bacterium
Lineage: Bacteria; Pseudomonadati; Pseudomonadota; Alphaproteobacteria
Description: bacterial SSU rRNA
Rfam family: Bacterial small subunit ribosomal RNA
Source: RNAcentral
AAUCUUAGACAAUGGGGGCAACCCUGAUCUAGCCAUGCCGCGUGAGCGAUGAAGGCCUUAGGGUUGUAAAGCUCUUUCGCUGGGGAAGAUAAUGACGGUACCCAGUAAAGAAGCCCCGGCUAACUCCGUGCCAGCAGCCGCGGUAAUACGGAGGGGGCUAGCGUUGUUCGGAAUUACUGGGCGUAAAGCGCGCGUAGGCGGAUUGGAAAGUUGGGGGUGAAAUCCCGGGGCUCAACCCUGGAACUGCCUCCAAAACUAUCAGUCUUGAGUUCGAGAGAGGUGAGUGGAAUUGCGAGUGUAGAGGUGAAAUUCGUAGAUAUUCGCAGGAACACCAGUGGCGAAGGCGGCUCACUGGCUCGAUACUGACGCUGAGGUGCGAAAGUGUGGGGAGCAAACAGGAUUAGAUACCCUGGUAGUCCACACCGUAAACGAUGAAUGCCAGACGUCGGGCAGCAUGCUGUUCGGUGUCACACCUAACGGAUUAAGCAUUCCGCCUGGGGAGUACGGCCG